RNAcentral lists this long non-coding RNA (847 nucleotides) under Ananas comosus (pineapple). RNAcentral's name for it is "long non-coding RNA (ACOM_LNC017052)". The record is from RNAcentral. Lineage: Eukaryota; Viridiplantae; Streptophyta; Magnoliopsida; Poales; Bromeliaceae.
AGUUUGUCUCAGAACAUUUAUAUAUAGAGAGAGAGAGUCAGGUUAUUAUAUUCUUACGUAUUUGAAUUUUUUAUACUUAUAAGCUUUCGCUGUUAGAUCUAUCCAUUUAAUCAUUUUUAUUAGAUUAUACAAUUCAACGAACCACCCCCUCAACUCUAGAGGAUCACUAUCAUUCUGAUCGGAGACCACUAUCAUCCUAGCCGCACUCUUCAUCCAACGAUCGAAAAUUUAUGAAUACAAAGGUUUCUAUACUCAUAAAAAGUAAUAGUAGCGCUACUAUAUAUGAGUAGGCCCCUUCAUACUAAUAAGUUUUUUUUUUUAUAAUGGAACUUCUGAAUUGAUGAUCAAUACCGUUAAAUAUGAUCCAGAGUAUUUGAAAUUUAUAAAAAAUAAAUUUCAUAAUUUUUGAAAUUAUGUUAAAUUUUAUCAAGCGGGUAUAAAAUGAACGGUCGAAAUUGAACAACCUCUUAAAAAUAUAUGAUCGGAUUCUUUAAUUUAAGAUCGGAGCUAUUGAUCUUUAUUUAGAUAGUGAAUAAAAUUUUCUAUUAAAAAUUCAACCGAUUUGAUUCUUUUAUACGUUAAACUAGCAAGCAUCUCAUACCAGCCGCGCGUUAAAAAUUAUCAAUUUUAAGAUCUUUUAAUCUUAAGGUAAAUGAUGUCGAAAAGUUAUAAAAUUUGAUUCCUAAAAGUUUUAAAUGCUUUAAAUUAUAUUUAAAGGUAUGAAUUAUCGAUUCGGAAUCUUUAUUAUCGAAAACGACUUAUAAAUAUUGUCAUGCUCAUAAAAGUAUAGAAGCCGAACUUUAUAUAUAUGGCACUCAAAGAUACGUGUUGUUUACUAAUAGUGAGU